Molecule: long non-coding RNA, 2430 nt
Organism: Bubalus bubalis (water buffalo)
Lineage: Eukaryota; Metazoa; Chordata; Mammalia; Artiodactyla; Bovidae
Exons: 5
Source: RefSeq, a predicted model, not a curated record
AGCUUCAGUUUCAGCAUCAAUCCUUCCAAUGAGUAUUCAGGGUUGGUUUCCUUUAGGAUUGACUGGUUUGAUAAGUAUGUAAAUCCUACAUAUCUACUAGUGGAAAGUCCAAGACAAAAGGAAUGCGUGUGAUAGACCUGGGGCUCUGUUAACUGGUAAGGAAACUCCAAGUAACAGUCUGUGAGGUGCCUCCUUCUGAAGCCAGUAUGAUAACUUGUUUAGUCACUAAGUUGCGUCCAACUCUUUUGUGACCUCACGGACUAUAGCCCACCAUUCUCCUCUGUCCAUGGAAUUUCCCAGGCAAGAAUAUUGGAGUGGGUUGCCAUUUCCUUCUCCAGCUUCCUGACCCAGGGAUCAAACCCGCGUCUCCUGCAUUGGCAGAAUUCUUAACAGCUGGACUACCAGGGAAGUCCAGAUUGAUUGACUUAAAAUAGAAACUUUUAUUUUGCCACUGUUCUGUCCCUUUAAUUAAAUAGACUGAACCCUACUGUUUUCAAUGGCCUAUGUAGAGGAUUCAUGACACUUCUUUAAGCCCCUCUUGGGCCUGGCAGCCUGAAUGCAGUGUAGUGCUUCAUGUCAUCUCCUCUAAUGUGGUCACCUCUAAGGGACCAGGUUUCCAGGACAUGCCAGUGUCCUCAAAAUCCCCAGAAGAGUGCUAAGCAGGUACACCUGCUGAUGGAUCUUUAAACAUAAUGAAGCAUAAAUGUGCCCUUCCGUUCAUUUACAAUAGAAGUUUAAUAAAAAUACAGGCUGAAUGAUAUGUCCUUUUCUAUAGGAUGCUUUUGAGUGUGUAGGCCAGAAUCUCAUUUUGCUUUAAAAGCUGAUCUAAUCCUUUCGUCAAAUAAUUUUAGCAGGCUGAUUCUUAACCACUGGCACCACCUGGGAAGCCCCCCAGGACCUUGUGGUCAGCAUGUAAUCCUGAAUUCUGGAACCUAUGAAUAUAAAUGUUGUCUUAUAUUGGAGAAGGGUCUCUGCAGAUGUGAUUGCAUUAAGGGUACUAAGGUGGGGAGAUUAUCCUGGAUUACCCAGGUGAACCCUGAACACAAUCACAAACAUCCUUAUGAGAGAGAGAGGGAGAGUUGACACAGGCAGAGGAGAAGGUGUGUGAUCACGGAGGCGGAGCCUGCAGUGAUGAAGCCGCAAACCAGUGAAUUCCUGACAGCUCCCAGGAGCCGAAAGAAGCAAGAAUAUUCUCCCCUCCGUUAGUUUCAGCACGAACUGAUUUUGGACUUCUCAUCUCCAACACCGGGAGAGGAUAAAUUUCUAUUGUGUACAGGCACCGAGUCUGUGGUCAUCUGUUACAGCCUUCACAGGAAAGUAAUACAUUGCUUUUCACUCAGAGCACGUGCGAGAGUACCUGAGAAACAAAUGCUGGAAAGACUUUUUUGUCUGGGUUGCAUUUUCAUGAAAUGAUUCAGACUUACAAAAAUAUAUAAUAAUGUAAUAGACACCGUGGAACUUACUUUACUGGCUGAAAAACAAAACAUUUCAAGUAUAUUUGAAUUCUUCCAGCCACCCUCCCUCCACUAUGUUCCUCUCAAUCCAUAUCUGAGUUUAAAGCAUGUGAUUCUCCCAGAGCAAACAUCAUUUUAUCAUUUUGAGAAAUCUUUUCAUUGGCAACACCAGGUCAAAAAUGGACACUGCUUUUUGGUGCAAGGAAUAGUUAAGGAGCAGAAGUCCUUAGCUUGCAGGAUCUCAGUUUCCCAUACCAGUGAUUGAAGCCAGACCACUGCACACAGUGAAAGCCUAGAAUCCUAACCACUGGACCACCAGGGAUCUCCCCACCACGUGUUUCUUCAUUCUCCUUGCGGUAUAACAUUAUAUUUGUGUCACUAUGCUGUUGACAGUCAGGGAGGGGGCCAUGCUGUGCAGCUUGUGGGAUCAAUCUACCUCCUUGACCAGGGAUGGAACCCAUGCCCCCUGCAUUGGGAGCAAGAGGUCUUAACCACUGGACUAUGAGGGAAGUCCCUCUUGAAUCCAUCUUUUGAUGAAUAUACAUAUGCACUGUUUGUAUGUUUUAGGAGUGGAACUGUUGGGUCAUUUAAUGUCUGAAUGUUCAUUUUCUAGAUGCUUUUUAAAGAUCAUUCCUUGUGAUGGAACCAAAGACUAUCACGGAUCACACAGCUAAUACACAGGCUUUCCAUUCUGUCCAAAGAUUCACUAAUAAGCCUCAAUACCAAGGCUUCCAGUACUUGUCAGCUCAAUACCCUUCUCCAGCCUAGCCUCUCAAAUGGGUAGACACUACAAGGAAUAUACAUACACUUACACACUCCAGAGCCAUCUUGUAAAGACAGUCAGGUAACUCUGUACUGGCAAUGAAUCACAUUUCCGUGGCCAGAUGAAGCUCCGGGAAGCCUGCCGGGCUAGCUAGAGAAGUCUGGAGUGGGGAGCUCUGGAAAACAUCUACUUCAUUGUGAGGGUCUUUACAAC